AUUGAACGCUGGCGGCAGGCCUAACACAUGCAAGUCGGACGAGCGGCGGACGGGUGAGUAAUGUCUGGGAAACUGCCUGAUGGAGGGGGAUACCUACUGGAAACGGUAGCUAAUACCGCAUACCAUCCGAUGUACCCAGAUGGGAUUCGCUAGUAGGUGAGGUAACGGCUCACCUAGGCGACGAUCCCUAGCUGGUCUGAGAGGAUGAACAGCCACACUGGGACUGAGACACGGCCCAGACGCCUACGGGAGGCAGCAGUGGGGAAUAUUGCACAAUGGGCGCAAGCCUGAUGCAGCCAUGCCGCGUGUAUGAAGAAGGCCUUCGGGUUGUAAAGUACUUUCAGCCGGGAGGCGUUACCGACAGAAGAAGCACCGGCUAACUCCGUGCCAGCAGCCGCGGUAAUAC
Molecule: ribosomal RNA, 406 nt
Filed under: uncultured bacterium
Lineage: Bacteria
Description: partial 16S ribosomal RNA
Rfam family: Bacterial small subunit ribosomal RNA
Source: RNAcentral